This 1136-nucleotide long non-coding RNA is filed under the name Sus scrofa (pig). Its description in RNAcentral is "lncRNA (ENSSSCG00035071352.1)". The record is from RNAcentral. Lineage: Eukaryota; Metazoa; Chordata; Mammalia; Artiodactyla; Suidae.
AAGAUCGGAACAGAAAUCGAAUAGCUGUUUUCCACCUGCAAAGAGAGGAGCCGCACGGUCACCCACGCUGAGUGAGGCGCCCCUCUGGCCCCUGGGGCCGUGGCGUGGCGGGUGGGGCCCGGCGGGCAGGGACACAGACCCGACCCCACUGCUCCGGAUCCAACCUGGAGGGUCGGCCCCAGGACCGGCGACACACCGGACAGCGAAGCACCUGGUGUGCAGGUCAACUGGCCAGGCGGGCAGCGGGGGUGUCUAGGGCACACCCAGACACCAGGCCCCCAGGCCGAGGGGCGGCACAAUCUCCAGGAGACCCUCCCGCCACCUCUUGGAGGUGACCCUGAGCCGAGACCAAGCUCACAAGAACCCCGGGGCCUUCUCAGCAGCCACCCUCAGCACCCUGCAGACAGCCCAGUGCUUGAGGAAGACCAGCCAUCAGUGAGCGACCCCUCACGCUCACCACUGUGGGCUCCCCGCCUCCUCUCCCCCGCACCCCGCACAUCUGAAGGCCCCUCAGACCCACUGACUCCACAGGACAGAGAAGGCUCCCCGUGAGCGUGGGCUCCCAGUGGACCCCCCAGCCCACACCACCGCCGACACUGUCACACAACAGAGGACGGCCAGCGGCUCCUACCAGAUCUGCCACCAUCUUCUGCAUGUAUUUCGUGCAUUUUUCCACCUCGUUCUUGGGCCCCCUGAGUUGAACAAUAUCGCUUUUCUGGGCUGGGUCUGGAAAGUUGAUGAUAACCUAGAACAAGUCAGCAGGACGCCGAGCUCAAUUAUCGGUUGAGGACUGACCCCCAAAGGCUGAAUGCCCUCCCCUGCGGUCAGACGAGCCCUAGGGGCUAGAGCUCGCCCGUGGGAAAAACGGUACCUCCGGGAAUUUGUCCCGAAUCUCUCGGAUCCGCUCCCCCUUCUGCCCGAUGAUGGUGCGAUGGAACCUCUGCUCGAUGAUCAGAUCCUUGACCAUGGCUUCGAUCUGCUCCUGGGCCGCGCUGACGUCCUCCGUGGGGCCUUCCAGGGUGAUCCUGUCCUCGCCUUCCGUGAACUCAACGUGAACCUGCCGCCAACACGAGGCCGGCCUGUCAGGACAGCGCCGCCCAGCCCAGCGAGCCCGAGGCCCGCGGCCGCCCUCCCGG